CUUCCAAACAAGAAGCUUUAGAAGGUCUAGGCUUGGCAAGUUUAAUUGGCAUGUUUUUUGCAUCAUUCCUAAAACACUAUUUCUGUCUUAUUGCUCACUCCUGUCCCAAUAAGUGAAGUCUGAAUUCUUUUACUCACAUUGUAAAACAGUAAAAUUGAGGUUAAAAUGCCUCCCCGCAAAUAAGUCUAACUCUGGAAGUAUCUUAGGAAAAAACCCUGAUCUUGCAUUAUGGCACAAUGGAAAAGCCCUUUGGGGAUAAAAAUCCUAAGGCAAAUGGUCAUAUUUAAUCAAUGUGUGUACCAUGUAACUAUGAGGGCAGUGCAGUCACCCAUAAAGAAAAUUUAAAAAAAAAAACACAUCUACUAACUGCUCAAGUCCACUUUCAGGGAAAAACCUUGAAAAUGCAUCACUUUUGAUUGAAUAAGUAAGACAACAUCUCAUGGAAGACAUCUGCACAUGACAUAUGUUAGAGAAAGAGAAAAUUUCUCUAAAAUAUUAUUAGAGAUUUUAUUUAGAACAAUUUUCUUUCACAAUAAGAAAUCUGAAAGAAAAAAGUAAAAGAGUAAACUUAUGGCUUGAAGAGAAUUCACUACCUGUUUUCAUUAGAUUUUAAUAUGUUUUCAUGGAUACUCCACAAUGCCUGCCAAAUCUUAAAUGCUCAAUGAGUAUUAGUACUACCACUAGGAAAGAUUGGUGAAAGAUCCUUUGCUGUGUGUGUAGAUAAAUUUAUGUAAGUUUACUCCAGUACAGGAAUCACACAGGGUAACCAUCUACUGCCACCAUUUAUCAAACAAUGAAUUAUUGGGAGAUUUAUUUUUAAGUGUUUUUCAGUUUCUACCAUUGGUUUUGAAGAACACAUCAAAAUUACCUAUGCUUGAGAGUACGGCAUUCUCAAAUACCUUGGCCCUAAAGAGAUAACACAAACCAGACCAGCUGUGAAUUUUUUAAAAUUCUCCCAAAAAGUGUUAGCGUUAAGCUUCUCAUCUGUGCCACUGAACAGAACUGCCAAAUUCUGAAAGCAAAAUUUCCAAUAAAGAUUAAAUGAAUAUCAUUUUACAUUUCACUUACUCCAUUAAUAUCAAGUAUUAAGGUUCUAACCUAAAUAAAACAUAAAAUUCCAUAUCAUAUGAUUCACAGCCUUGAGAAAGAAAAAAUCGACUCAGAAUUUUAUUUUUAUUUAGGAUUAUGCAUUUCCUAGUCUAAUCCUGGAGCCAAUUUGUUGGAUGAAUCUAAAUUAUAUGUCUUCCAGAUAUACUCCCUUUAAGUCUUUCAACCUUAGCUUUAAACUUUUUCUUACUUUCAUCAAUUGGAGCUUUUUUCUUUUUAAAAUACAGUUUGAACGAUUCAAGCAGUACAUAUUUUUCAUACAUCAUAAAGUAGAAAAAACUAAAGAUGGUAUGACAGUCUCAUACUGCCUUCAAAACAUCAACACAUUUAAUAACUGCAGUAGUGUUUGAUUUUAAAGUGGCCAGAUCACAAAUAAUCAAUAUUAAUCCUUUAAUAAGUAAUCAGAAGCCUCAUGAAUUAAAUGUCUUCCCAAAACUCAUCUACCAUACUAGAGGUUAAACAUCCAGAAAAAUUUGAUUCUAAAUGUUUCAAACUAUGUACUUUCACUAUGUCUACACUAUGUAAGAAAAUAAAAGCCUGGAAAGUAAAAAGUCAUGGUAACACUGACUCACUUUCACAGGUGACAAAAAAAAUUGGAAAAGAUGGCAUACAAUGGAAUAUUUAUAUUUAAAAUGUCUCAGAUAAAUAGCUAAAAAUUUUGAAUAUAAUUUAAGAACAUCUUCAAAGAGAUUUAAUAUCUUGUGUGACUGUACCCCCAAAAGAUAAUGGGAUUGAAAAAACAACUGAUAGAAUUCAGCUUUAAAAGUCUUUAUUUCAAUUUUGAAGGAGUGAAAAUGACCUUCCCUUUGUCUCACAUGUGCCAACAUGAGAAAAGAUGCAAUCCUCUGACUCUGGCACAAAUGAUUUUUUAAAAUAACAAGUAAUAUAUUGUUGGGAGCAGGAACCAGGGGUCUGGCAGUGAAUGGAUGUGGAAAACCACACACUGAAGCUGGACCUCAACCAGUUCCUUAUCCUGCACUAACCUCAGCCUUCUAGACAAAGCAUCGUGCUAAUAUGAACCUGGGAAUAGCUUCAUAACAUAAACAAAGAAGUUUCUCAUGGGCCCAGGAACAUGUUUACCUUUGCUGCAUGCACAAGAAAGUGUCCUGAAGUGACUUGUACUGCUCUUUGUUUUGAAACACUAUAAAAACUCUGGAGUCCUUCAAUAAAACACCUUUUGCCUCCUGAGCAAUUGGUCUCCCUGUGUCUUCAGUCUCUCGCCUGACUCCUUCCCCGCACUGGCCGCGGCACCUGGCGCCUGAACGUGGGGCUUGGAAUACAAGCAUUCAGAGCGUUCCUCCAGUGGAAGGAGAAUCGGGAGUUCCGAGAAGACCGCUGCUAUGAGGACCCGGACGCUGAUACACCCAGGUGGAUCCCAGAACGUUGUGUACGACAUGCUCAAGAGCAAGAUAGAAAAAUUGCACAGGAAGAUGCUUCGACUAACCAUGACCUCGAGGACGAGAACAAUGACCAGAAGGCCUCCUGCAACAAGAAAUGAAACCCUUCUGUUUUUGGCUCAACUGUUAAGCAUUAUUUGGGUUUUGCAUACAUUUCAUAUAUCUGUGUGGGCGGAUAAUUAUUGGGCAUUUGUACCUAAUCCUCCUUUGUUGCACCCUAUGUCAUGGGGUGACAACAAUGAUGUUAUUGUUUAUGUAAAUAAUACUCGAGUCUUAAGUUUUCCUUCUUCCACUCAUAUACAACCUAUCUCUAUUGUAUAUAAUUACACUGGAAUGUCUACUUCAUUACCCUUAUGUUUUUCUAAAGCAAAUGAGAAUUGUACAUUAAUAGAAAGAUACUCUGAUUGGGAUGGAAACUUUGCUAAUGGAACGCACUGGGGAGUAGAUAUGAUGUAUAUAUUUCGCAACAGUAGUGAAACUAGAGUGGGAAAAGACAAUCCCCCUGAGCAUAUUCCAGAAUGUAAACAAAAAUACCCAAGCAAAAGUGUAUAUGGACCCUCAUGGCUUUUGUGCCAUCAUAAUUAUACUAUAUGUUACAAAGGUCUAUGUGAUUGGAGCUCUAGCAUUUAUCUCCAUGAUAACAAUUUUUCCAUAUCUUGUGAUAAUUGUUGUUGGGCAAAUGAGAAAUGUGUGUCUAGACUUGAAACGUUUUAAGUUAGAAUCAACUGCUAACGAAAUUCCCAUGCGACGCUUUGUUUAAGAAGAAAGGGGGAUAUGUUGGGAGCAGGAACCAGGGAUCUGGCAGUGAACAGGUGUGGAAAACCACACACUGAAGCUGGACCUCAACCAGUUCCUUAUCCUGCACUAACCUCAGCCUUCUAGACAAAGCAUCGUGCUAAUAUGAACCUGGGAAUAGCUUCAUAACAUAAACAAAGAAGUUUCUCAUGGGCCCAGGAACAUGUUUACCUUUGCUGCAUGCACAAGAAAGUGUCCUGAAGUGACUUGUACUGCUCUUUGUUUUGAAACACUAUAAAAACUCUGGAGUCCUUUAAUAAAUCGCCUUUUGCCUCCU
Cavia porcellus (domestic guinea pig) is the source of this 3576-nucleotide long non-coding RNA. RefSeq lists it as uncharacterized. The transcript has 2 exons. The record is from RefSeq and is a predicted model, not a curated record. NCBI's taxonomy places the organism in Eukaryota, Metazoa, Chordata, Mammalia, Rodentia, Caviidae.